CAGCCAUGCCGCGUGUGUGAAGAAGGCCUUCGGGUUGUAAAGCACUUUUGUCCGGAAAGAAAAGCCUUGGGUUAAUACCCUGAGGUCAUGACGGUACCGGAAGAAUAAGCACCGGCUAACUUCGUGCCAGCAGCCGCGGUAAUACGAAGGGUGCAAGCGUUACUCGGAAUUACUGGGCGUAAAGCGUGCGUAGGUGGUUUGUUAAGUCUGAUGUGAAAGCCCUGGGCUCAACCUGGGAAUGGCAUUGGAAACUGGCUGACUAGAGUGCGGUAGAGGGUAGUGGAAUUCCCGGUGUAGCAGUGAAAUGCGUAGAUAUCGGGAGGAACAUCUGUGGCGAAGGCGACUACCUGGACCAGCACUGACACUGAGGCACGAAAGCGUGGGGAGCAAACA
This 393-nucleotide ribosomal RNA is filed under the name Lysobacter sp. 2CBAB. Its description in RNAcentral is "bacterial SSU rRNA". It matches the Rfam family "Bacterial small subunit ribosomal RNA", at positions 389 to 774 of the family's 1533-position model. Lineage: Bacteria; Pseudomonadati; Pseudomonadota; Gammaproteobacteria; Lysobacterales; Lysobacteraceae. The record is from RNAcentral.